Molecule: unclassified non-coding RNA, 251 nt
Filed under: uncultured Chaetomiaceae
Lineage: Eukaryota; Fungi; Ascomycota; Sordariomycetes; Sordariales
Description: sequence contains 5.8S rRNA gene
Rfam family: 5.8S ribosomal RNA (bases 1-53)
Source: RNAcentral
GAACGCACAUUGCGCCCGCCAGUAUUCUGGCGGGCAUGCCUGUCCGAGCGUCAUUUCAACCAUCAAGCCCCGGGCUUGUGUUGGGGCCCUGCGGCUGCCGCAGGCCCUGAAAACCAGUGGCGGGCUCGCUAGUCACUCCGAGCGUAGUAGUUUACACCUCGCUCAGGGCGUGCUGCGGGUUCCGGCCGUUAAAAGCCUUAUUUUACCCAAGGUUGACCUCGGAUCAGGUAGGAAGACCCGCUGAACUUAAG